RNAcentral lists this ribosomal RNA (468 nucleotides) under uncultured bacterium. RNAcentral describes it as "partial 16S ribosomal RNA". It matches the Rfam family "Bacterial small subunit ribosomal RNA", at positions 28 to 507 of the family's 1533-position model. The record is from RNAcentral.
GACGAACGCUGGCGGCGUGCUUAACACAUGCAAGUCGAACGGAAAGGCCCUGCUUUUGUGGGGUGCUCGAGUGGCGAAAGGGUGAGUAACACGUGAGUAACCUGCCCUUGACUUUGGGAUAACUUCAGUAAACUGGGGCUAAUACCGGACAUGAGCUCCUGCUGCAUGGUGGGGGUUGGAAAGUUUCGGCGGUUGGGGAUGGACUCGCGGCUUAUCAGCUUGUUGGUGGGGUAGUGGCUUACCAAGGCUUUGACGGGUAUCCGGCCUGAGAGGGUGACCGGCAACAUUAGGACUGAGAUGCGGCCCAGACUCCUACGGGAGGCAGCAGUGGGGAAUAUUGCACAAUGGGCGGAAGCCUGAUGCAGCAACGCCGCGUGCGGGAUGACGGCCUUCGGGUUGUAUACCGCUUUCGCCUGUGACGAAGCGUGAGUGACGGUAAUGGGUAAAGAAGCACCGGCUAACUACGUG